This 771-nucleotide ribosomal RNA is filed under the name uncultured bacterium. RNAcentral describes it as "bacterial SSU rRNA". It matches the Rfam family "Bacterial small subunit ribosomal RNA", at positions 8 to 796 of the family's 1533-position model. The record is from RNAcentral.
AGAGUUUGAUCAUGGCUCAGGACGAACGCUGGCGGCGUGCUUAACACAUGCAAGUCGAACGGAAAGGCCCUUCGGGGUACUCGAGUGGCGAACGGGUGAGUAACACGUGGGUGAUCUGCCCUGCACUUUGGGAUAAGCCUGGGAAACUGGGUCUAAUACCGAAUAGGACCACGCGCUUCAUGGUGUGUGGUGGAAAGCUUUUGCGGUGUGGGAUGGGCCCGCGGCCUAUCAGCUUGUUGGUGGGGUAAUGGCCUACCAAGGCGACGACGGGUAGCCGGCCUGAGAGGGUGACCGGCCACACUGGGACUGAGAUACGGCCCAGACUCCUACGGGAGGCAGCAGUGGGGAAUAUUGCACAAUGGGCGCAAGCCUGAUGCAGCGACGCCGCGUGAGGGAUGACGGCCUUCGGGUUGUAAACCUCUUUCAGCACAGACGAAGCGCAAGUGACGGUAUGUGCAGAAGAAGGACCGGCCAACUACGUGCCAGCAGCCGCGGUAAUACGUAGGGUCCGAGCGUUGUCCGGAAUUACUGGGCGUAAAGAGCUCGUAGGUGGUUUGUCGCGUUGUUCGUGAAAACUCACAGCUUAACUGUGGGCGUGCGGGCGAUACGGGCAGACUAGAGUACUGCAGGGGAGACUGGAAUUCCUGGUGUAGCGGUGGAAUGCGCAGAUAUCAGGAGGAACACCGGUGGCGAAGGCGGGUCUCUGGGCAGUAACUGACGCUGAGGAGCGAAAGCGUGGGGAGCGAACAGGAUUAGAUACCCUGGUAGUCC